CGGCGACUAAGCCUGCAUUAAUGCCAACUUUUAGCGCACGGCUCUUUCUCUGGAGCCAUUUCCCUGGACCGAAUACAGGAAUCGUAUUCGGUCUCUUUUU
Molecule: small RNA, 100 nt
Organism: Klebsiella sp. RIT-PI-d
Lineage: Bacteria; Pseudomonadati; Pseudomonadota; Gammaproteobacteria; Enterobacterales; Enterobacteriaceae
Source: Rfam